Molecule: ribosomal RNA, 750 nt
Filed under: uncultured Thermotoga sp.
Lineage: Bacteria; Thermotogati; Thermotogota; Thermotogae; Thermotogales; Thermotogaceae
Description: bacterial SSU rRNA
Rfam family: Bacterial small subunit ribosomal RNA
Source: RNAcentral
GGUGAACGCUGGCGGCGUGCCUAACACAUGCAAGUCGAGCGGGUACCCGCAAGGGUACCAGCGGCGCACGGGUGAGUAACACGUGGGUAAUCUACCCCUCGGAGGGGGAUAACUGGGGGAAACCCCGGCUAAUACCCCAUACGAUCCGGCAACGAAGGUUGCUGGAUGAAAGGGGCGUUUGCUCCGCCGAGGGAUGAGCCCGCGGCCCAUCAGGUAGUUGGUGGGGUAAUGGCCCACCAAGCCUACGACGGGUAGCCGGCCUGAGAGGGUGGUCGGCCACAAGGGCACUGAGACACGGGCCCUACUCCUACGGGAGGCAGCAGUGGGGAAUCUUGGACAAUGGGCGAAAGCCUGAUCCAGCGACGCCGCGUGGGGGAUGAAGCCCUUCGGGGUGUAAACCCCUGUUGCGAGGGAGGAAUAAGGCCUGGAGGAAAUGCCAGGCCGAUGACUGUACCUCGCGAGGAAGCCCCGGCUAACUACGUGCCAGCAGCCGCGGUAAUACGUAGGGGGCGAGCGUUACCCGGAUUCACUGGGCGUAAAGCGGGUGUAGGCGGCUCGGUAAGUCGGGUGUGAAAUCCCACAGCUCAACUGUGGAAUUGCGCCCGAAACUGCUGAGCUUGGGGCCGGUAGAGGGAGACGGAACUGCCGGUGUAGGGGUGAAAUCCGUAGAUAUCGGCAGGAAUGCCGGUGGGGAAGCCGGUCUCCUGGGCCGCGCCCGACGCUGAGACCCGAAAGCUAGGGGAGCAAACC